Long non-coding RNA from Dermochelys coriacea (leatherback sea turtle), 690 nucleotides. RefSeq lists it as uncharacterized. The transcript is spliced from 2 exons. The record is from RefSeq and is a predicted model, not a curated record. NCBI's taxonomy places the organism in Eukaryota, Metazoa, Chordata, Testudines, Dermochelyidae.
ACAUGCAGUGGUCUCAGCACAUCUUUCCAGGUGAUUAUGCCUGCUCCAUGCACCAGAUGAUCUCCCACUUGGAACAAUGUCGAGCUGCUGGACCUCAUCAGCAUUUGGGGAGAGGAGGCUGUCCAGCCUCAGCUGCGCUCCAGCCUUAGGAAUUAUGAUAUCCACAGACAGGUGUCACGAUGUAUGACAGAAAGGGGCCAUGAUCCGGACACAUUGCAGUGCAGGGUCAAAGUGAAGAAGCUGCGGAACUCCUACCACAAGGUGCAGGAGGCAAACCACCACUCCGGUGCUGUGCCCACGAGCUGCUGGUUCUACAAAGAGCUGGACGUGACACUUGGUGGCGACCCCACCUCCACUGCAAAGGGCAAUGUGGAUACUUCGGUGGCUUGUGUGCCAGUCAAGGGUGGACCAAGCCAGGAGGAGAAAAUCUUGGAUGAGGAGGCGGAGGGGGACUCAGAGGCAGAGGAUGACUCGGAAGUCAGAGAUGCAUGCAGCCAGGAGCUCUUCUCUACCCCAGAGGAGGCUAGCCAGUGUUAGAGCUUGGCAAAGUGCAAAUAGGAGUGGAGGCCCCUGAUAUGACCUUGGGAGCCUAGCCUCCCUCUUUGUUAUCGCUGGCUGAAUGGCUGCGCAGAAUUAGAAAGUGGCCACGAAGAACUAAAGAGGACUUCCUGCGUGAUGUCAUGAUGAACU